The sequence is a ribosomal RNA, 207 nucleotides long. It matches the Rfam family "Bacterial small subunit ribosomal RNA", at positions 568 to 774 of the family's 1533-position model.
CGCGUAGGCGGGAGAACAAGUCAGAUGUGAAAUGUGGGGGCUUAACCCUCAAGCUGCAUUUGAAACUGUACUUCUUGAGUAUCGGAGAGGCAGGCGGAAUUCCUAGUGUAGCGGUGAAAUGCGUAGAUAUUAGGAGGAACACCAGUGGCGAAGGCGGCCUGCUGGACGACAACUGACGCUGAGGCGCGAAAGCGUGGGGAGCAAACA